This 1319-nucleotide long non-coding RNA is filed under the name Gopherus agassizii (Agassiz's desert tortoise). Its description in RNAcentral is "lncRNA (ENSGAGG00000008472.1)". The record is from RNAcentral. Lineage: Eukaryota; Metazoa; Chordata; Testudines; Testudinidae.
UUCAAACUCAUUCCUCCACUGUGCUCUCUGAAUCCUUUUAAAAGGUCUUGAAAGACUCACCUAAGAAUGUCUCACAGUGUGUUUCCCCUGCACGCAACCGUACACUUGGUCUGUUGGUUGUAAAUUCCUUAGUGCAGAGCUGUAUAAAGAACAUAACAUGUUUGCGGACACCAUGGAGACAACGUGUAAAUAAUCCUACAAUUCUACCUUCAUGUCAGCAACGGCUUUUCAGAGACGAGCUCAGGUCCAAGAUCUGAAGUUUGACUCCACUAAGUCACACCAAAGAAGCUUCCAGAAAAAGCCCCCUUCCCCUCUCCAUCAACUCUUUCAAGUUUGAGGCUCUGCAUUCUGGCUACUCUCCUUUCAGACAAAGACAACUGCAAGCAGCACCCAUACUCCAGAACUCGCUGAGCAAAGGGCCCAAGAACAACCUGAUGUGCCUCCUUGAACCUUGCAAGCUCGAUAUGUGAGGGAAAGGAGCUGUGUCCCCCAUCUGGCAUUUUUUACAGGGGAACCCUACCAGUACCUCCACCACUGUCCAUGGACACCUGCAAGGGAGGAGUCUCACACAACAUGGAGGAGGAUUUUGUGGAUGAGGAAGAGGAGGAGGAUGAUGCCCAGCAGGCAAGUGGAGAAUCCNCUCACACAACAUGGAGGAGGAUUUUGUGGAUGAGGAAGAGGAGGAGGACGAUGCCCAGCAGGCAAGUGGAGAAUCCAUUCUCCCCGGUAGCCAGGACCCUUUCAUCACCCUCCCAAGGUGGGUUUCCAGACCCUGAAGGUGGAGAAGACACCUUUGGAGCAAAUGUUCCUAUGCUCCCUGUAUCAUCUCUAUCCCUGAGGUUAUUGCUGAUUAGAAGGCGAAAAACACACUCAUGAUGACAUGUUUUCAGAGUUCAUGCAGUCCUCCCGCACUGAUAGGGCACAGCUGAAUGCAUGGAGGUAUUCAGUAAGUGUGAUCAGAACAUGCAGGAGGAGAUGCUGAGGCUAAUGGAGGAGCAAACAGACAUGAUCAGGAAUAUGGUGGAGCUGCAGGAAAGGCAACAAGAGCACAGACAGCUGCUGCAUCCAUUGUAUAACGGCCUGCCCUCGUCCCCAAGUUCCAUAUUCUCCUCACCCAGGUGCUCAAGAAUGUUGGGGUGGGGGAGGCUCUGGGCACCCAGCCUCUCCACUCCAGAGGAUGGCCCAUUCAACCAGUUUUGAUUUGUAGUGUGGCUACAUUAAGCAAUGUGGCCUUGCCUUCCCUCCUCCCCCGCCCCACCUGGGCUACCUUGUCAGUGAUCUCACUUUUUUAAAAAUAAAGACUGCAUGGAUUCAAAACA